RNAcentral lists this ribosomal RNA (467 nucleotides) under uncultured bacterium. RNAcentral's name for it is "partial 16S ribosomal RNA". It matches the Rfam family "Bacterial small subunit ribosomal RNA", at positions 28 to 507 of the family's 1533-position model. The record is from RNAcentral.
GACGAACGCUGGCGGCGUGCUUAACACAUGCAAGUCGAACGGAAAGGCUUCUUUCGGGGGGUACUCGAGUGGCGAACGGGUGAGUAACACGUGAGUAACCUGCCCUUGACUUUGGGAUAACUUCAGGAAACUGGGGCUAAUACCGGAUAGGAGCUCCUGCUGCAUGGUGGGGGUUGGAAAGUUUCGGCGGUUGGGGAUGGACUCGCGGCUUAUCAGCUUGUUGGUGGGGUAGUGGCUUACCAAGACUUUGACGGGUAGCCGGCCUGAGAGGGUGACCGGCCACAUUGGGACUGAGAUACGGCCCAGACUCCUACGGGAGGCAGCAGUGGGGAAUAUUGCACAAUGGGUGGAAGCCUGAUGCAGCAACGCCGUGUGCGGGAUGACGGCCUUCGGGUUGUAAACCGCUUUCGCUCAUGACGAAGCUUUGUGUGACGGUAGUGGGUAAAGAAGCACCGGCUAACUACGUG